This 253-nucleotide ribosomal RNA is filed under the name uncultured bacterium. RNAcentral describes it as "partial 16S ribosomal RNA". It matches the Rfam family "Bacterial small subunit ribosomal RNA", at positions 524 to 776 of the family's 1533-position model. The record is from RNAcentral.
UACGUAGGGUGCAAGCGUUGUCCGGAAUUAUUGGGCGUAAAGGGCUCGUAGGCGGUUUGUCACGUCGGGAGUGAAAACUCGGGGCUUAACCCCGAGCCUGCUCCCGAUACGGGCAGACUAGAGGUAUGCAGGGGAGAACGGAAUUCCUGGUGUAGCGGUGAAAUGCGCAGAUAUCAGGAGGAACACCGGUGGCGAAGGCGGUUCUCUGGGCAUUACCUGACGCUGAGGAGCGAAAGUGUGGGGAGCGAACAGG